RNAcentral lists this ribosomal RNA (253 nucleotides) under uncultured bacterium. RNAcentral describes it as "partial 16S ribosomal RNA". It matches the Rfam family "Bacterial small subunit ribosomal RNA", at positions 524 to 776 of the family's 1533-position model. The record is from RNAcentral.
UACGGAGGGGGCGAGUGUUGUUCGGAAUUACUGGGCGUAAAGGGCGCGUAGGCGGCUUGGUCAGUCCCGUGUGAAAUCCCUCGGCUCAACUGAGGAACUGCACGGGAAACUGCCUGGCUUGAGUUCGGGAGAGGGAAGCGGAAUUCCGGGUGUAGCGGUGAAAUGCGUAGAUAUCCGGAGGAACACCGGUGGCGAAGGCGGCUUCCUGGACCGACACUGACGCUGAGGCGCGAAAGCUAGGGGAGCAAACGGG